RNAcentral lists this unclassified non-coding RNA (334 nucleotides) under soil metagenome. RNAcentral's name for it is "partial contains 5.8S ribosomal RNA, internal transcribed spacer 2, and large subunit ribosomal RNA". The stretch from base 1 to 120 matches the Rfam family "5.8S ribosomal RNA", at positions 35 to 154 of the family's 154-position model. The record is from RNAcentral.
GAUGAAGAACGCAGCAAAAUGCGAUAAGUAAUGUGAAUUGCAGAAUUCAGUGAAUCAUCGAAUCUUUGAACGCACAUUGCGCCUGCCAGCACUCUGGCAGGCAUGCCUGUUCGAGCGUCAUUUCAACCAUCAAGCCCUAGGCUUGCGUUGGAGCCCUGCGGCUGCCGCAGGCCCCUAAAAGCAGUGGCGGGCUCGCUAUCACACCGAGUGCAGUAGAUUACUCUUCGCUCAGGGCGUGUGGCGGGUUCCAGCCGUGAAACCCCCUACUUCUCAAGGUUGACCUCGGAUCAGGUAGGAAUACCCGCUGAACUUAAGCAUAUCAAUAAGCGGAGGA